GAGGUGUGAUGAGUUUUACAUUGGUCCGUGUUUCUGAAUCACAGUGACCGACAACUUUUACCAAUUUCUGAUCUC
Molecule: non-coding RNA, 75 nt
Organism: Cajanus cajan (pigeon pea)
Lineage: Eukaryota; Viridiplantae; Streptophyta; Magnoliopsida; Fabales; Fabaceae
Source: Rfam